This 253-nucleotide ribosomal RNA is filed under the name uncultured bacterium. RNAcentral's name for it is "partial 16S ribosomal RNA". It matches the Rfam family "Bacterial small subunit ribosomal RNA", at positions 524 to 776 of the family's 1533-position model. The record is from RNAcentral.
UACGUAGGGCGCAAGCGUUGUCCGGAAUUAUUGGGCGUAAAGAGCUUGUAGGCGGUUUGUCGCGUCUGCUGUGAAAACCUAAGGCUCAACCUUGGGCUUGCAGUGGGUACGGGCAGACUAGAGUGCGGUAGGGGUGACUGGAAUUCCUGGUGUAGCGGUGGAAUGCGCAGAUAUCAGGAGGAACACCGAUGGCGAAGGCAGGUCACUGGGCCGCAACUGACGCUGAGGAGCGAAAGCGUGGGGAGCAAACAGG